GGAGUUAGCCGGUGCUUCUUCUGUGAGUGAUGUCCUUCCUGCCGGUUAUUGACCCGCAGGCCUUCUUCCUCACUGAAAGUGCUUUACAACCCGAAGGCCUUCUUCACACACGCGGCAUGGCUGGAUCAGGGUUGCCCCCAUUGUCCAAUAUUCCCCACUGCUGCCUCCCGUAGGAGUCUGGGCCGUGUCUCAGUCCCAGUGUGGCUGAUCAUCCUCUCAGACCAGCUACGGAUCGUCGCCUUGGUGAGCCGUUACCUCACCAACCAGCUAAUCCGACAUAGGCUCAUCCGAUAGCGCGAGGCCCGAAGGUCCCCCGCUUUCCCCCGUAGGGCGUAUGCGGUAUUAGCCUGGGUUUCCCCAGGUUAUCCCCCACUACCGGGCAGAUUCCUAUGCAUUACUCACCCGUCCGCCGCUCGCCACCAGGGAGCAAGCUCCCCGUGCUGCCGCUCGACUUGCAUGUGUAGCUCGCCGCCACGCGUCAUCUGAGCAUAAUACAACUACUGA
This 504-nucleotide ribosomal RNA is filed under the name uncultured bacterium. Its description in RNAcentral is "partial 16S ribosomal RNA". The record is from RNAcentral.